This 253-nucleotide ribosomal RNA is filed under the name uncultured bacterium. Its description in RNAcentral is "partial 16S ribosomal RNA". It matches the Rfam family "Bacterial small subunit ribosomal RNA", at positions 524 to 776 of the family's 1533-position model. The record is from RNAcentral.
UACAGAGGUGGCAAGCGUUGUUCGGAAUUACUGGGCGUAAAGGGCGCGUAGGCGGCCUUCUAAGUCAGACGUGAAAUCCCCCGGCUUAACCUGGGAACUGCGUCUGAUACUGGGAGGCUAGAGUAUGGGAGAGGGAUGUAGAAUUCCAGGUGUAGCGGUGGAAUGCGUAGAGAUCCGGAAGAACACCGGUGGCGAAGGCGGCCUGCUGGGCAGUUGCUGACACUGAGGCGCGACAGCGUGGGGAGCAAACAGG